This 2503-nucleotide long non-coding RNA is filed under the name Gossypium barbadense (sea-island cotton). RNAcentral's name for it is "long non-coding RNA (GBAR_LNC021832)". The record is from RNAcentral. Lineage: Eukaryota; Viridiplantae; Streptophyta; Magnoliopsida; Malvales; Malvaceae.
UGGCGGUAAUCUGAGGUACCGAAAAAAGAAAAUUCAAGCGCCCAAAUUUCCAACUGUUUUUUUUCCCUAUUCAGUUCACCAUUUUGUUUUCUAGGGUUUUUGAAGCAAUCCUCGCCAUAGAUGGAUAGAUAGAGGGAUCGUGAAGGACCGUUUAACAAUCACCAACCGUUAAAUUCAACUCCUUUUGUUUCCCGAUAAUCACAAUCCUAACAUACCCCGCUGGCCACCACCGCCACCACUUCCGGCAACAGAGCAGCCAAUAAACGACGCGUUUUCGUCCAACGGUUCCAAAUCCGGUCGAAAGAGCGGGGUUUCACCAUUCCAUUCGAAGAGCUUCUCCAGGUAACUACAUUUAGCCAUGUAUACAAGUCCCUACACUCUUCUUUGUUAAGUCAGAGCAUAUUGAAGGAAGCAAUCUUGCAAAAUUCUUAUGUAGAAACGGUUGAUAUGUAUACCACCAUGAUCUCAAAUUUUAGGCCAGCAGAAAUUCAGUGUAUCCAGGCUACUGUUUAUAAGUUUGAAGACGAAAUUAUCAUCUUUUGUUUCCUUGUCUCUGUUAUAUUCAACUCCAAUUGAGUAUAACCAAUGGAAGUUGUUGAGGGACCGACUCUUUUGGGGAUGUAUUCGAAGUGUCAUCCACUGGGAAGCUAGCUGGACGGUCUCCCAACAAUGGUAUGUAUUGUCCCUGUGCCGGGGUUUUGUCUCCAUCCUCCAUCAUGAGCAAUUAUAGUAUCAAUUGUGCUAGGCUUUCAGCGGGGGAGAGAGACAAAAUGCCGAUACAGUGGCAAUACCUACCAUUGUUGGGGGUUUGGCCGGCUGCUCAGCAGACAGCACUUUGAAGAAUUCUACCGAAGCAGUUGCCCCCUCAACAGAAUUACUAGCAUAAUUGUGUUUCAGUUGUUAAGCAAAGCAAGUUUCCUGCUUUUACAUAUCGUUGUUGCAUCUUGCACCUUGUAAAAUUUCCUUCAAAAUGAUUUGAGCGAUGCAUAUAUUAAACUCUUUUGCAGUGGAAAAUAAACUGGAGGAAUUCACGGUAUUUGGGCUCAGAAACUGUUGCCAGGCAGCAAAAGCUGCAAAAUCAGUGCCAACAGGUUCAGACAUGUCUCACCCAAUUGAAAGUUUAAGUCCAACAACCUUUGUUUACAUUGAUCUUGGACGGACUUUGUACAUUUUUUUAAACAUACAUUUAUUAUUUCAUUUUAUGCAUUGCGAUUUUCUUUUCUUCAGUUCAGAGACGUUGUAAAUGUAACUGAUGUACUGAGAUGGAUGUUUUAAUUGACUCAAAGAAUCUCUUUCAUGUGUUUUGGCAUCUGAUGAAACUUCAUGUCAUACUCUGUUUUUUAUUGACAUGUCUAGAUGAAGUUAUGAUUUGCAUAAAUUCAGUAUAUUGUGAUUCUCUAGGGACCGGACCAUUCACAAAUCAAGACAGAAACAAGUGCUGUUUGUUGAUCAACUUGUGGUUAACUUUAUCAGAUACCAAGAUCUUAAUUACUCUUUUUGAUUGGAUUUGCAUGUUGCAUAUGUUAUCGGUUGCCUAUUUUCCUUCCCCUUUCAUGCUAGUAAGAAGCAUAUAUAGAUCAGGCACAUGUGCAAUUGUGAUGAUAGUAAGAAACAUAUGUUUAUCAGGCACAUGCAGGAACUUUAGAACACUCACUCUCCUCAACCUUCUCUCUUAAUUUGUAGUUUGAUUAGCUAUUAUUGAGCUCCUUUGUAAUGAAAUUUGGCUUCAAGAUGAUGUCUGUAUGCGUUGUUCAUUUGUUUUUCAUUUAUUAGGCUCACUCAGGUGGAAGGAUUCUGCGUUCAUUUCUUCCCUGGUGAUUUCUUUUUCUGGGACAUCUUCUAGUUGUUAUUAGGCUACAUAAGUUUUGUUAAUAGUCACUAUUUAUUUUCAAUCUCCUUGCUUUCAUCCCUUGUUUCCUACUUUGAAGUGGUUAAAUGUUGGUAGGAUAACUUGCAGGGCCGGAACUGCUCAUGUAAUUACAAUCCUGUUAGUGAAACACAUCUUAUCGUUUUUGUUACAUACUUGAAUUUGAAUGUUACAUCUCUUGCUUCAUUUUCUUUUAUUGCAGCUUUAAAAUGUUCAUUGUACUAAAUGUAUAUGGGAAUUUCCAGGUAUGCAAAGCAGUUUCUUGAUGUUUUCAGUUUUACAGCCUAAACCCAUCAUAGGUGAGUGUUUUUCAACAUGAGCAUCUUCUGGUAAACAUGUGAAAAUUCAAUUGGCUGACAGGAUAAGAUUCCUUCAUGACCCUUAGGUUCUUGUUACAUAGGAAUUACCUAAAGGGUUAUUUGUUAGACUGCACAUUGGGCAACCUCGAGUCUUAGCUUAGCACAUUGGAGCAUUCAAAAAUGUAGGUUUCUUCAGAACCUUAUAUAUUAACUUCUUUGUUGCUUUUGUUGGUACGGCUAGUUUUCAUAUCUAGGGAUAAAAAUUGGUCAUUAUUUGAGGGGGACGGUGGUAGGCCCCAGGAAUCACGUAAUGGCUUAUCUCACACACAGUCUCCGG